Molecule: ribosomal RNA, 255 nt
Filed under: uncultured bacterium
Lineage: Bacteria
Description: partial 16S ribosomal RNA
Rfam family: Bacterial small subunit ribosomal RNA
Source: RNAcentral
UACGUAGGGUGCAAGCGUUAAUCGGAAUUACUGGGCGUAGAGCGUGCGCAGGCGGUUAUGUAAGACAGUUGUGAAAUCCCCGGGCUCAACCUGGGAACUGCAUCUGUGACUGCAUAGCUAGAGUACGGUAGAGGGGGAUGGAAUUCCGCGUGUAGCAGUGAAAUGCGUAGAUAUGCGGAGGAACACCGAUGGCGAAGGCAAUCCCCCUGGACCUGUACUGACGCUCAUGCACGAAAGCGUGGGGAGCAAACGAGG